This 485-nucleotide ribosomal RNA is filed under the name uncultured bacterium. RNAcentral's name for it is "partial 16S ribosomal RNA". It matches the Rfam family "Bacterial small subunit ribosomal RNA", at positions 30 to 507 of the family's 1533-position model. The record is from RNAcentral.
UUGAACGCUGGCGGCAUGCCUUACACAUGCAAGUCGAACGGCAGCACGGGUGCUUGCACCUGGUGGCGAGUGGCGAACGGGUGAGUAAUACAUCGGAACAUGUCCUGUAGUGGGGGAUAGCCCGGCGAAAGCCGGAUUAAUACCGCAUACGAUCCACGGAUGAAAGCGGGGGACCUUCGGGCCUCGCGCUAUAGGGUUGGCCGAUGGCUGAUUAGCUAGUUGGUGGGGUAAAGGCCUACCAAGGCGACGAUCAGUAGCUGGUCUGAGAGGACGACCAGCCACACUGGGACUGAGACACGGCCCAGACUCCUACGGGAGGCAGCAGUGGGGAAUUUUGGACAAUGGGCGAAAGCCUGAUCCAGCAAUGCCGCGUGUGUGAAGAAGGCCCUCGGGUUGUAAAGCACUUUUGUCCGGAAAGAAAUCCUUGACUCUAAUACAGUCGGGGGAUGACGGUACCGGAAGAAUAAGCACCGGCUAACUACGUG